CAAAAACAUUUUUUUAAAGAAGUUAAGAUACGACCUGCUCACUGAUUUAUAAUUAAAGAGCCGCGGAAUUUUAACCGUGCUAAGGUAGCAUAAUAAUUUGACUCUUAAUUGGGGCCUAGAAUGAAUGGUUAAAUGAGACUUAAGCUUUUUUUUUAUUAAGAUUCAAAUUUAACUUUAAAGUGAAAAGGCUUUAAUAGUCUAAAAAGAAGAGAAGACCCCUAGAGUUUUAUUAUAAAAAAUUAAUUCAUUAUGGUAUAAUAAAAUGAUUAGUAAGGUGUAAUUUAGCUGGGGCGGUUUUUAAGUAUAAGUAACCUUAGAAAAAUUAACUUUUAAAGAAUAUAUUGAUCCAAUAAAAUUGAUUGGGAGUAAAAUUACCUUGGGGAUAACAGCGUAAUCUUUUCAAAGAGUUCUUAUUGAUGAAAGGGUUUGCGACCUCGAUGUUGGAUUAAGAUUAAAUUUUGGAGCAGAAACUAAAAUGUUAGGUCUGUUCGACCUUUAAUUUCUUACGUGAUCUGAGU
RNAcentral lists this ribosomal RNA (518 nucleotides) under Peltogaster postica. RNAcentral's name for it is "partial 16S rRNA". It matches the Rfam family "Bacterial large subunit ribosomal RNA", at positions 1808 to 2610 of the family's 2925-position model. Lineage: Eukaryota; Metazoa; Arthropoda; Thecostraca; Peltogastridae. The record is from RNAcentral.